UACGUAGGGACCAAGCGUUGUUCGGAUUUACUGGGCGUAAAGGGCGUGUAGGUGGUUUCGUAAGUCUGGCGUGAAAUUUUUCGGCUUAACCGGGAAAGGUCGUCGGAUACUGCGGAACUAGAGGACGGUAGAGGCGUGUGGAAUUCCGGGUGUAGUGGUGAAAUGCGUAGAGAUCCGGAGGAACACCAGUGGCGAAGGCGACACGCUGGGCCGUACCUGACACUGAUGCGCGACAGCAUGGGGAGCAAACAGG
RNAcentral lists this ribosomal RNA (253 nucleotides) under uncultured bacterium. RNAcentral describes it as "partial 16S ribosomal RNA". It matches the Rfam family "Bacterial small subunit ribosomal RNA", at positions 524 to 776 of the family's 1533-position model. The record is from RNAcentral.